UACGUAGGGGGCAAGCGUUGUCCGGAUUUAUUGGGCGUAAAGAGCGUGUAGGCGGUUUGGUAGGUCCGCUGUGAAAACUCGAGGCUCAACCUCGAGACGCCGGUGGAAACCAUCAGACUAGAGUCCGGAAGAGGAGAGUGGAAUUCCUGGUGUAGCGGUGAAAUGCGCAGAUAUCAGGAGGAACACCGAUGGCGAAGGCAGUGGGCUGGGCCGGCACUGACGCUGAGGAGCGAAAGCGUGGGGAGCGAACAGG
This 253-nucleotide ribosomal RNA is filed under the name uncultured bacterium. RNAcentral describes it as "partial 16S ribosomal RNA". It matches the Rfam family "Bacterial small subunit ribosomal RNA", at positions 524 to 776 of the family's 1533-position model. The record is from RNAcentral.